This 906-nucleotide long non-coding RNA is filed under the name Malus domestica (apple). Its description in RNAcentral is "long non-coding RNA (MDOM_LNC010193)". The record is from RNAcentral. Lineage: Eukaryota; Viridiplantae; Streptophyta; Magnoliopsida; Rosales; Rosaceae.
UAUAGAGCAUGGCCGGUCCCCUUGGGAGAGAGGGUGGCCGGCCUCUUGUGUAUGUUUUGGGUGCAAUUGGUGAUUUAAUUGGCAAUUAAUGAAUUAAUUAGGUAAUAAAUCCAUUAAUUAGCCAAUUAACAUAAUUUAAAAUGAAUGUUUUGGAGGUUAUGGAAUAAUUACUUUGUGGAUAAUACAGGGUGAGGAUGGAUGAAAUAAUUUUGAAUUUGUUACUUAUUUAGGCAACUUUGACUUGAUUGAGGGAUGAUUGUCCACUGCUCGCGCAUAGAAAUCCCGAUGUGCCUCAAGGGUAAUUUUGUCCUUUUUACCCAAAAAUCCACGUGUCGCCUCUUGAUUGUUUUUGGCUCCACAUAUGCAAACUUAAUUUUGCACCCAAACACGAUUUUCAAAAUGCUAACCUACGUUUCGCAUCCUCACAUUGUCCAAAGGUUUUGAAAUUGUAUCGAUGUGAAAUCUUAUUCCCGAAUUUCACUGUUCAAUUAUCGUGCCUCACAAUUUUGUGAAAUUAUUUUACUUUCAUUAAUUGAUUUUUAGCUUCUUAAAGUUUGAUUUUCGUAAGUAACAAUAAAAAAUCCAUUGACCUUUUGAAAUCACUCUUAAUAUUUUUGGAUAGAGCUCGAUAACACAAACGUGCAGGCGAAAACCGUUUUGCCAAUCGGAUUUGUAACUAAAGAGAUAUAAGCUUGCAAAGGCAAGGGCAAAUUAAUCUUUUGCGCACUUAUAUAUAGCUAGAGAGGGGGGGCAGACAAAGGGGAUGGACUGGACCUAUGUGCGACUUGGACUUCUUCUUCCUUACCAAGGUUUAACCCAUUUUCUCGACAAAUUUCAGGGGGCUUUUCUAACCGAUUCCAAGGAUGGAAUCUGCCCCCUCCACCACCAUUUAAACCGUCUCACCCU